This 500-nucleotide ribosomal RNA is filed under the name uncultured bacterium. RNAcentral describes it as "partial 16S ribosomal RNA". It matches the Rfam family "Bacterial small subunit ribosomal RNA", at positions 29 to 523 of the family's 1533-position model. The record is from RNAcentral.
AUUGAACGCUAGCGGCAUGCCUUACACAUGCAAGUCGAACGGCAGCACGGGAGCAAUCCUGGUGGCGAGUGGCGAACGGGUGAGUAAUGUAUCGGAACGUGCCCAGUCGUGGGGGAUAACGUAGCGAAAGCUACGCUAAUACCGCAUACGAUCUAUGGAUGAAAGCGGGGGACCGUAAGGCCUCGCGCGAUUGGAGCGGCCGAUAUCAGAGUAGGUAGUUGGUGGGGUAAAGGCCUACAAAACCGACGAUCUGUAGCUGGUCUGAGAGGACGACCAGCCACACUGGGACUGAGACACGGCCCAGACUCCUACGGGAGGCAGCAGUGGGGAAUUGUGGACAAUGGGCGCAAGCCUGAUCCAGCAAUGCCGCGUGCAGGAUGAAGGCCUUCGGGUUGUAAACUGCUUUUGUACGGAGCGAAAAGGCUCUCUCUAAUACAGGGGGCUCAUGACGGUACCGUAAGAAUAAGCACCGGCUAACUACGUGCCAGCCGCCGCGGUAA